This 468-nucleotide ribosomal RNA is filed under the name uncultured bacterium. Its description in RNAcentral is "partial 16S ribosomal RNA". It matches the Rfam family "Bacterial small subunit ribosomal RNA", at positions 28 to 507 of the family's 1533-position model. The record is from RNAcentral.
GACGAACGCUGGCGGCGUGCUUAACACAUGCAAGUCGAACGGGAAGUCCUUUCUUUUGUGGGGUGCUCGAGUGUCGCACGUGUGAAUCUCCCGUUAGUAACCUGCCCUUGACUUUGGGAUAACUUCAGUACACUGUGGCUAAUACCGCAUAGGAGCUCCUGCUCCCUGGUGGGGGUUUGAAUGUUUGGGCGUUUGGGGAUGGGCUCGCGGCUUAUCAGCUUGUUGGUGGGGUAGUGUCUGACCAAGUCUUUGACGGGUAGCCGGCCUGAGAGGGUGACCGGCAACAUCGGGAGUGAGGAGCGGCCCAGAAGACUACGGGAGGAAGCAGUGGGGAAUAUUGCACAAUGGGCGGAAGAAGGAUGAAGGAACGACGCGGGCGGGAUGAAGGACGUCGGGGGGUAAACCGCUGUCGCCUGUGAAGAAGAGUGAGUGACGGUAAUGGGUAAAGAAGCACCGGCUAACUACGUG